Molecule: long non-coding RNA, 1301 nt
Organism: Lepidothrix coronata (blue-crowned manakin)
Lineage: Eukaryota; Metazoa; Chordata; Aves; Passeriformes; Pipridae
Exons: 4
Source: RefSeq, a predicted model, not a curated record
GACAAAAAGGGGCAAGGACCGAACAAGUCAACCAGCCAACCGAAGGCAAGCUAGCAAAAAUCUCACCACUUCCCUUCGAACAGGCAGGAUGGCUAGACACGGCCCAAGGCUCUCCCCUCACGCGUGGCAGAUUACGGCAGUCACUGUAGGCCUCGGCUCCAGAUAAGCCAGACUGAAACAGGGACCCGCCGUUCUCGAACCUCGCCGGAAAGGAAGAGAGCGAACUAUCUUAUCAAUGCCUUAUUUAUACCCUAGGUUACGUAAUGGAAUAGCAUGGAAUACUUCCUUGGUCACCUUCCUAGUUCCUUCCUGGUUACAAGCUGGUUUCCAGGAAGGCCUAGACUGAAACCAUCACACACCUGGUCUGUCUGAAGAGCCUAGCCUUUUGACUGUUUUGCUCUGGGCAAAAGUGAAAUGUUGCAUUCUUCAAAUCCACUUGCUAUGACUUGAACAGUGGAUCACUCUUCAAGCAGAAGAAAUUUUUUGAGAUUAUCUUCAUUUCAGUAGUCCCUUUACACAGAUGGAUACCUGUGUUAAUGGUGAUAUUAAUUUUUCGAUCUCAAGAGAAGACUAUCCUUAUUUUCUCAAUGUCUUUCUUACACCAGAACAUCUAUGACACCCAUGUGCACGCUUUAAUCACAAGUUAAGAGCAUAAGUAAGAGUGUUCUUUUCUCAGGGAUUGGAUCUAAGCUCUGAAGAAGCAUGACUCUUUUGAAGACCUAAAUAGAAUUUGACAUCUAACCUGAGUUCUGUAAAAACCUACCUGACAAACUGCAGUUAAUACCCCACACGAGCAACUGGAUAAACCAGAACAGGCUUACUAAAUUAAAAAAAAUAUUAAAAAAAUUAGAAAGAUUAAAAAUAUGCAAGAUGUCAAAAUUUUAUUUUCAGAGGCAAACAUUUUUUACUAAAAAUCGAUGAGUUCUGGAAACAUAGAUGAAACAAGUUUUUGGUUAGGUUAAGCACUUUAAGGCAAUAUAGAUAGGACUGUGAAUCAUUUACAUAGUGCAAAUAUUUUUUUCAGGCUAAUCCCAGGUUUUUAUUUUUUCUUUAAGAACUGAUUAGUUAUUCCACUGAAUUAUGCCAAAGUUCUUCUUAAUCCAGCAUUUCCUUAACUUUUCCUCAUAUUACACCCACCUUGUCCCAUUCAGAUCAGUGGUGUUGCCUAAAGAGAGACUGCAGAGAAAAAGAGGCCAAGAUAAGAUAAAGAGAGUAGGUCCUUUAAUCAGCCUACAGGCCCAGGGAAUACACAUAAUGCAUACGUGUCCAUACAGUGGUUGUAUGAUUUUAUAAUAAGGUCC